UAUAAAUUUAAGUAUUCCAAUCAACUUUUCACUAAGUCUUUUGGUGAUAUAGUGAUGAGCGUUUUUGAUGCAUUGGUUGCUUUUAAAGUAUUUAGUUUGAAGUCGGACAGUUUCUGGAUAGCCGACACCGUUGUCUCACUCAGCACUUAAAUGUCAUUGA
Rhagoletis zephyria (snowberry fruit fly) is the source of this 160-nucleotide long non-coding RNA. RefSeq lists it as uncharacterized. NCBI's taxonomy places the organism in Eukaryota, Metazoa, Arthropoda, Insecta, Diptera, Tephritidae. The record is from RefSeq and is a predicted model, not a curated record.